RNAcentral lists this non-coding RNA (24 nucleotides) under Cricetulus griseus (Chinese hamster). The record is from RNAcentral. Lineage: Eukaryota; Metazoa; Chordata; Mammalia; Rodentia; Cricetidae.
AAUUCUGAACGUAGUCCCAACCCC